GUUUGGGGAGAUGUUUUCUGGGUCCUUCCUGAUAUCUAUUCUUAUAUCAGUUUAGAGCCUAGCAGGAAACAUGUGGCACACUCACAUGUCACUGAGGAACUCUUAACUUUUUUGGCAAAUGUAUCUGAAACAUAGAGGUAAGAAUAGAGGCUAAUAUAAAAACAUGCAUGUUCCAAUUACCGAGCUUUAUUAAA
Molecule: long non-coding RNA, 194 nt
Filed under: Mustela putorius furo (domestic ferret)
Lineage: Eukaryota; Metazoa; Chordata; Mammalia; Carnivora; Mustelidae
Description: lncRNA (ENSMPUG00000024879.1)
Source: RNAcentral